RNAcentral lists this ribosomal RNA (252 nucleotides) under uncultured bacterium. RNAcentral's name for it is "partial 16S ribosomal RNA". It matches the Rfam family "Bacterial small subunit ribosomal RNA", at positions 524 to 776 of the family's 1533-position model. The record is from RNAcentral.
UACGUAGGUCCCGAGCGUUGUCCGGAUUUAUUGGGCGUAAAGCGAGCGCAGGUGGUUUAUUAAGUCUGGUGUAAAAGGCAGUGGCUCAACCAUUGUAUGCAUUGGAAACUGGUAGACUUGAGUGCAGGAAAGGAGAGUGGAAUUCCAUGUGUAGCGGUGAAAUGCGUAGAUAUAUGGAGGAACACCGGUGGCGAAAGCGGCUCUCUGGCCUGUAACUGACACUGAGACUCGAAAGCGUGGGGAGCAAACAGG